UACGGAGGGUGCAAGCGUUAUCCGGAUUCACUGGGUUUAAAGGGUGCGUAGGUGGGCAGGUAAGUCAGUGGUGAAAUCGUCUGAGCCUUAACUCAGAAACUGCCGUUGAUACUAUCUGUCUUGAAUAUAGUGGAGGUGAGCGGAAUAUGUCAUGUAGCGGUGAAAUGCUUAGAUAUGACAUAGAACACCCAUUGCGAAGGCAGCUCGCUACACAUA
Molecule: ribosomal RNA, 216 nt
Filed under: uncultured bacterium
Lineage: Bacteria
Description: partial 16S ribosomal RNA
Rfam family: Bacterial small subunit ribosomal RNA
Source: RNAcentral